This is a non-coding RNA of Apus apus (common swift), 426 nucleotides long. The record is from the annotation of a RefSeq genome assembly. Lineage: Eukaryota; Metazoa; Chordata; Aves; Apodiformes; Apodidae.
AUGCACCUUGAGUAUCUCAUCCUUGCUGCCUUCCUGAGGCAACCACUGGGCACCACGGGGCAGACCACCAUCACCCAGCAAGGAGGACAAGUCAUGGUGCAGGAGACAGACAUCUUCCAGACCAGAUGCACAUACCAAACCUCUGGCUUUGAUGCCUUGUUCUGGUAUCAGCAGAAGACAUAUCAGGCCCCACAGCAUAUCUCUUAUCAGGCAGUAACUGGCUCCAAGCGCAGCGGCCGUUUCACCACCUUUCUGAACACCACGGGGAAAUACAGCCUCCUGCAGCUGGAGGAUGUUGAGGUCUCUGACAGUGCCUUGUACCUCUGUGCUGUGCAAGACACCCUGGGUUUCCUGGAGGCCUGUCAGCGUACCUGCUCUGGGAUGUGUCCUUCAGAGGUCCGAGUUCAAAGUAAAUUGAAAGCAUAG